UUUUAUAAAAUUCUAUUUUCCUAUAGGUUCCACUUAUUAUAUAAAUUAAUAAUUUCUUAAAUUUGAAACUAAGUCCAUGUGAUAUGUCUAUGUGACUUAUGUUUAUAGUGUUGCUUGCUUCUUCUUGUGAUUGUUUUCGACUUGUAUUUCAUCUAUAACUCUUUUUGGAAUGUGAAAUUCCAGUUGAUAUUAUUGUUUUGGAAAAAAUAAUUAUUCAAUACUAUUAUCA
This 229-nucleotide long non-coding RNA is filed under the name Citrus sinensis (sweet orange). RNAcentral describes it as "long non-coding RNA (CSIN_LNC000076)". Lineage: Eukaryota; Viridiplantae; Streptophyta; Magnoliopsida; Sapindales; Rutaceae. The record is from RNAcentral.